AGCAUAUCAAUAAGCGGAGGAAAAGAAACCAACAGGGAUUGCCUCAGUAACGGCGAGUGAAGCGGCAAAAGCUCAAAUUUGAAAUCUAGCACUUUCAGUGUUCGAGUUGUAAUUUGAAGAAGGUAACUUUGGUUUUGGCUCUUGUCUAUGUUCCUUGGAACAGGACGUCACAGAGGGUGAGAAUCCCGUGCGAUGAGAUGCCCAAUUCCAUGUAAAGUGCUUUCGAAGAGUCGAGUUGUUUGGGAAUGCAGCUCUAAGUGGGUGGUAAAUUCCAUCUAAAGCUAAAUAUUGGCGAGAGACCGAUAGCGAACAAGUACAGUGAUGGAAAGAUGAAAAGAACUUUGAAAAGAGAGUGAAAAAGUACGUGAAAUUGUUGAAAGGGAAGGGCUUGAGAUCAGACUUGGUAUUUUGCGUUCCCUUCCUUUUUGGUUGGGUUCCUCGCAGUUUACUGGGCCAGCAUCGGUUUGGAUGGUAGGAUAAUGACAUUGGAAUGUAGCUUUACUUCGGUGAAGUGUUAUAGACUUUGUUGAUACUGCCUAUCUAGACCGAGGACUGCGUCUUUGACUAGGAUGCUGGCGUAAUGAUCUUAAGCCGCCCGUCUUGAAACACGGACCAAGGAGUCUAACGUCUAUGCAAGUGUUUGGGUGUAAAACCCGUACGCGUAAUGAAAGUGAACGUAGGUGAGAGCCUUUUAGGUGCAUCAUCGACCGAUCCUGAUGUCUUCGGAUGGAUUUGAGUAAGAGCAUAGCUGUUGGGACCCGAAAGAUGGUGAACUAUGCCUGAAUAGGGUGAAGCCAGAGGAAACUCUGGUGGAGGCUCGUAGCGGUUCUGACGUGCAAAUCGAUCGUCGAAUUUGGGUAUAGGGGCGAAAGACUAAUCGAACCAUCUAGUAGCUGGUUCCUGC
This 904-nucleotide ribosomal RNA is filed under the name Dujonia zeylanoides. Its description in RNAcentral is "LSU rRNA". It matches the Rfam family "Eukaryotic large subunit ribosomal RNA", at positions 37 to 961 of the family's 3401-position model. Lineage: Eukaryota; Fungi; Ascomycota; Pichiomycetes; Serinales; Debaryomycetaceae. The record is from RNAcentral.